GACGAACGCUGGCGGCGUGCCUAAUACAUGCAAGUAGAACGCGUUGCGAACGGGUGAGUAAUACGUGAGUAACCUGCCCUCUUUAUGGGAUAAGCCUCGGAAACGGGGUCUAAUACCGGCUAAAGGGGGAUGUGCUCGCGGCCUAAGAGCUUGUUGGUGGGGUGAUGGCCUCCCAAGGCGGUGACGGGUCGCCGGCCUGAGAGGGUGACCGGCCACAGUGGGACUGAGAUACGGCCCAGACGCGUAAGGGGGGCAGCAGUGGGGGAUAUGGCACAAUGGGCGAAGGCCUGAUGCAGCGACGCCGCGUGGGGGAUGAAGGCUUUCGGGUUGUAAACCUCUUGCGCUAGCGAACGGGUAGGUGGAGAAGAAGCGCCGGCUAACUACGUGCCAGCAGCCGCGGUAAUUC
This 406-nucleotide ribosomal RNA is filed under the name uncultured bacterium. Its description in RNAcentral is "partial 16S ribosomal RNA". It matches the Rfam family "Bacterial small subunit ribosomal RNA", at positions 28 to 526 of the family's 1533-position model. The record is from RNAcentral.